Molecule: ribosomal RNA, 327 nt
Filed under: uncultured eukaryote
Lineage: Eukaryota
Description: partial 18S ribosomal RNA
Rfam family: Eukaryotic small subunit ribosomal RNA
Source: RNAcentral
CCCUUAGAUGUUCUGGGCAGCACGCGCGCUACAAUGGAUGAAUCAACGCGUCAUCCUGGCCCGAAAGGGUUGGGGAACCGCUGAACCUCAUCCGUGGUUGGGAUUGGGGUUUGUAAUUAUUCCCCAUGAACUAGGAAUUCCCAGUAAGCGCGAGUCAUAAGCUCGCGUUGAUUACGUCCCUGCCCUUUGUACACACCGCCCGUCGCUACUACCGAUUGGAUGGUUUAGUGAGAUCCUCGGAUUGGUCACGGCACGGUGGCAACACUGCGUCGGUGUGCCGAGAAGACGAUCAAACUUGAUCAUCUAGAGGAAGUAAAAGUCGUAACA